This is a long non-coding RNA of Dendrobium catenatum, 349 nucleotides long. RefSeq lists it as uncharacterized. The transcript has 2 exons. NCBI's taxonomy places the organism in Eukaryota, Viridiplantae, Streptophyta, Magnoliopsida, Asparagales, Orchidaceae. The record is from RefSeq and is a predicted model, not a curated record.
AAAGUGUCAUCCUUUGCAGCCCGGGAUAUGGUAUUACAAAGUUAUCGAAGCUGAUCACAUAUUUUUUAUUAUAAAUCGGGAGAGAGCAGGAGUUCAGUUUGAUCUUUUGUAUGAUAGCAUUUUUGAGCGCUGCAGAAAGCAUGUUUUGGUUGCUUGCAGAAAUGGUUAGAUUGCCUCUAUGUGUCAUGAAAAAAGAAGGGUAUAUGUUAUCUUGGAUUUGGAACUGUUGAAAAUCUUCAAUAAAUUUAUUUUUAAUGUUUUAAUUUUGCGUUGCUUAUUAGCCUAUCUGUUUAGUGGCAACUUUGAAUAUUAAUUUCAUAAAUUAUGUUCAAGUUCUAUUUUGAUUGCA